This is a long non-coding RNA of Magnolia sinica, 603 nucleotides long. RefSeq lists it as uncharacterized. NCBI's taxonomy places the organism in Eukaryota, Viridiplantae, Streptophyta, Magnoliopsida, Magnoliales, Magnoliaceae. The record is from RefSeq and is a predicted model, not a curated record. The transcript is spliced from 2 exons.
CCUUUUGAUAAUUACCUAAUUCUUGCUAUUUUUUAGCCACCUAUUGUUUAUGUUGGAGUUUCCGCUACAAAUUUUAAUCAUGAGCAUGUUUUCUCCUCUCUCUCUCUCUCUCUAAUUUUUUGGUGCUGAUGAGAAUUAUGGCAGAAGAUAUGGCGAAAUUUACUUUCACAAAGUGAAAAAUGUUUUAUGGUGGGAUUUGGGUUUCUUGAUAAUUUGUAACAUUGUAGUAAGGGGAUUUUCUGAAGUGAUCUCGUUGGCAACUGAUUCCAAGGAUCUCAAUAGGCUAUGGUUGCCUUGGGUUUUAUAAGUCUAUUUCCUCCAAAGCAAUGAUUCGUGACAUCGCAUCAGCACAAACUAUACAUUUAUCAACAAUGAUGGAAGGGGAAAAAAUGGCUAUGCAGCAGAAGCAAAAGGCAAUGAUGUUUGAGGGGGGUUUUUAAAAGUCUUGUGAUAGAGGGGGAUUGGGGAUGCGAGUAUCUUAAUUGACUUUUUAAUUUGCAAAUCUGAAAUAGAAACUGGCAAAUGGUGUUUCAAAGUGGUAUUUCUGGUGAAUGGUAUUGUGCCAUCAAAGAACAUAUAUAUAUAUAUAUAUAUAUAUAUAUA